This 468-nucleotide ribosomal RNA is filed under the name uncultured bacterium. RNAcentral's name for it is "partial 16S ribosomal RNA". It matches the Rfam family "Bacterial small subunit ribosomal RNA", at positions 28 to 507 of the family's 1533-position model. The record is from RNAcentral.
GACGAACGCUGGCGGCGUGCUUAACACAUGCAAGUCGAACGGAAAGGCCCUGCUUUUGUGGGGGUCUCGAGUGGCGAACGGGUGAGUAACACGUGAGUAACCUGCCCUUGACUUUGGGAUAACUUCAGGAAACUGGGGCUAAUACCGGAUAGGAGCUCCUGAUGCAUGGGGGGGGUUGGAAAGUUUCGGCGGUUGGGGAUGGACUCGGGGGUUAUCAGCUUGUUGGUGGGGGAGUGGCUUACCAAGGCUGUGCCGGGUAGCCGGCCUGAGAGGGUGGCCGGCGACAAUGGGACUGCGAUACGGACCAGAAUCCUACGGGAGGCAGCAGUGGGGAAUAUUGCACAAUGGGCGGAAGCCUGAUGCAGCAACUCCGCGUGCGUGAUGAUGGCCUUUGGGUUGAAAACCGCUUUCGCCUGUGCUGAAGCGUGAGUGACGGUAAUGGGUAAAGAAGCACCGGCUAACUACGUG